AUCUCCCCACUGACCUAUAGAUCUCAUUCUAUAGGGACCAGACCCACCCAUAUAGAAUAAAUCAUAUAGGGGUCAGACCUACUCAUAUAGACUGGACCCUAUAGGGACCACCCCACUGACCCCCUAUAGACCCCACCCUAUAGGGAACACACCCUAUAGGGACUACCCCACUGAUCCCAUAUAGACCUCACCCUAUAGGGACCAGACCCUAUAGACCCCACCCCACUGACCCCCUAUAGACCCCACCCUAUAGGGACCAGACCCUAAAGGCGCCACCACCCCACUGACCCCUAUAGACCUCACCCUAUAGGGACCAGCCCCUAUAGACUCCACCCUAUACGGACCCCACCCUAUAUGGACCAGACCCUAUAGGGACCACCCCACUGACCCCUUACAGACCUUACCCUAUAGGGACCACCCCCUAUAGACCUCACCCUAUAGGCACCACCCCACUGACCCCCUAUAGACCCCACCCUAUAGGGACCCCACCCUAUAGGGACCAGACCCUAUAGGAAUCACCCCACUGACCCCCUAUAGACCUCACCCUAUAGGGACCAGACUCUAUAGGGACCACCCCACUGACCCCCUAUAGACCUCACCCUAUAGGGAGCAGACCCUAUAGGGAGCAGACCCUAUAGGGACCACCCCACUGACCCCCUAUAGGGACCCCACCCUAUAGGGACCAUACCCUAUAGACCUCACCCAACCCCAACCCUUACAGACCUUACCCUAUAGGGACCCCACCCUAUAGGGACCACCCCACUGACCCCCUAUAGACCUCACCCUAUAGGGACCACCCCACUGACCACCUAUAGACCUCACCCUAUAGGGACCAGACCCUACAGGGUCCACCCCACUGACCCCCUAUAGACCCCACCCUAUAGGGACCACCCCCUAUAGACCUCACCCUAUAGGGACCAGACUCUAUAGGGACCACCCCGCUGACCCCCUAUAGACCCCACCCUAUAUGAACCCCACCCUAUAGGGACCACACCCUAUAGGGACCACCCCACUGACCCCUUACAGACCCCACCCUAUAGGGACCAGACCCUAUAGGGACCACCCCACUGACCCCCUAUAGAUCUCACCCUAUAGGGACCAGACUCUAUAGGAAUCACCCCACUGACCCCCUAUAGACUUCACCCUAUAGGGAUCAGGCCCACCUAUAUAGACCACACCCUAUAGGGACCCCACCCCUUACAGACCCCACCCUAUAGGGACCAAACCCUAUAGACCCCACCUUACUGACCCCCUAUAGACCCCACCCUAUAGGGACCACACCCUAUAGGGACCACCCCACUGACCCCCUAAAGACCUCACCCUAUAGGGAUCAGUCCCAACCAU
Molecule: long non-coding RNA, 1344 nt
Filed under: Calidris pugnax (ruff)
Lineage: Eukaryota; Metazoa; Chordata; Aves; Charadriiformes; Scolopacidae
Description: lncRNA (ENSCPUG00000000956.1)
Source: RNAcentral